Molecule: long non-coding RNA, 770 nt
Organism: Vidua macroura (Pin-tailed whydah)
Lineage: Eukaryota; Metazoa; Chordata; Aves; Passeriformes; Viduidae
Exons: 4
Source: RefSeq, a predicted model, not a curated record
CAGAGAAAUAUGGAAACUAUUCUAUUUAUACAUGAAAAUUGUGUAGUAACUUUGACUCUCAAAUAUGUGAACAUUAUCAGAAGGCUAAAGAAGUUUUAUGAGAACUUUAAAACUUUCAAAAGAACUAUAGAAGAAAACACUUUUAAAAAUCAGGGCAACAAACAGUAUUGUAGCACAACUGUAAUGCUAAAUUAGACUAAACGUUGCCCAAUACUCUUUGGUUUCAUAAAGCAAGAAGUUCAAAUGUGGGACAAACUAAUGAGUUGCUCCCAUGUGGUAUUUUAAGGGAUGUAGAGACAAAACCCAUCUUUGCACAGCCCUCACAGACCCUCAGCCCCUGAGGCGACGGAUAAAGUAAAAAAAAAAAACCUACACAUCCCUAAGGUCUUCCGGCCGCCUCUCUCCCUUUCCCCACCCGCCCUAGCUUGAAGGACUUCUGUGUUAAAGGAAACCCCGGAUUACCCCAUCGAGACAUUGCCCACAGGUUGUCCCUCCUCCCCGCGCGGUGCUCGCUUGUUGCUGUAGUUCCGGAAGAUUUUCUCCCGCGCUCGAAUCCUCUCUCCGGAGCACACAGCAAAACUCGAGGGAAUGUUUUGCCUAGAAAAAUGCCAAAUCCAGCUGUUUGGAGGAUCAUACCUGGACACAGGAGGUGAAACAAGAUGAUCUUUAAGUUCCCUUCCAACCCAAACCUUCCAUGAUUCUAUAUGACCAGAGUUCUGUUCCUAAAGCAGACAAGGAGCUGAGUGUAACCCCCAGGUGUGUGCACAGGG